RNAcentral lists this ribosomal RNA (249 nucleotides) under uncultured bacterium. Its description in RNAcentral is "partial 16S ribosomal RNA". It matches the Rfam family "Bacterial small subunit ribosomal RNA", at positions 1252 to 1500 of the family's 1533-position model. The record is from RNAcentral.
AGCCUGCGAAGGUAAGCAAAUCCCAAAAAUAAAGUCCCAGUUCGGACUGCAGUCUGCAACUCGACUGCACGAAGCUGGAAUCGCUAGUAAUCGCAGAUCAGAAUGCUGCGGUGAAUACGUUCCCGGGUCUUGUACACACCGCCCGUCACACCAUGGGAGUCAGUAACGCCCGAAGUCAGUGACCUAACCGCAAGGGAGGAGCUGCCGAAGGCGGGACCGAUAACUGGGGUGAAGUCGUAACAAGGUAGC